This 506-nucleotide ribosomal RNA is filed under the name uncultured bacterium. RNAcentral's name for it is "partial 16S ribosomal RNA". It matches the Rfam family "Bacterial small subunit ribosomal RNA", at positions 30 to 523 of the family's 1533-position model. The record is from RNAcentral.
AUUGAACGCUGGCGGCAUGCCUUACACAUGCAAGUCGAACGGCAGCAUGGAGGAGCUUGCUCCUCUGAUGGCGAGUGGCGAACGGGUGAGUAAAGCAUCGGAACGUACCGUGUAGUGGGGGAUAACGUAGCGAAAGUUACGCUAAUACCGCAUACGCACUGAGGUGGAAAGCAGGGGAUCGCAAGACCUUGCGCUAUACGAGCGGCCGAUGUCUGAUUAGCUAGUUGGUAGGGUAAAGGCCUGCCAAGGCGACGAUCUGUAGCGGGUCUGAGAGGAUGAUCCGCCACACUGGGACUGAGACACGGCCCAGACUCCUACGGGAGGCAGCAGUGGGGAAUUUUGGACAAUGGGGGAAACCCUGAUCCAGCCAUGCCGCGUGAGUGAAGAAGGCCUUCGGGUUGUAAAGCUCUUUCGGCCGGGAAGAAAUCGCACAGGCUAAUACUCUGUGUGGAUGACGGUACCGGCAUAAGAAGCACCGGCUAACUACGUGCCAGCAGCCGCGGUAA